This 460-nucleotide ribosomal RNA is filed under the name uncultured bacterium. RNAcentral's name for it is "partial 16S ribosomal RNA". It matches the Rfam family "Bacterial small subunit ribosomal RNA", at positions 338 to 795 of the family's 1533-position model. The record is from RNAcentral.
CCUACGGGAGGCUGCAGUGAGGAAUAUUGGUCAAUGGGCGCGAGCCUGAACCAGCCAAGUCGCGUGAGGGAGGACGGCCCUACGGGUUGUAAACCUCUUUUGCCGGGGAGCAACGGGCGUCCCGUGUGGCGCCACUGAGAGUACCCGGCGAAAAAGCCUCGGCUAAAUCCGUGCCAGCAGCCGCGGUAAUACGGAGGAUGCGAGCGUUAUCCGGAUUUGUUGGGUUUAAGGGAUACUGAGGCGGUUCGUUAAGUAAGUGGUCAAAUUGAGGGGAUCAACCCCUUCCCGCCAUUGAAACUGGCGCUCUUGAGUGGAAGAGAAGUAUGCGGAAUGCGUGGUGUAGCGGUGAAAUGCAUAGAUAUCACGCAGAACCCCGAUUGCGAAGGCAGCAUGCCGGCUUCCGACUGACGCUGAAGCACGAAAGCGUGGGGAUCGAACAGGAUUAGAUACCCCAGUAGUC